Molecule: long non-coding RNA, 2156 nt
Organism: Lagopus muta (rock ptarmigan)
Lineage: Eukaryota; Metazoa; Chordata; Aves; Galliformes; Phasianidae
Exons: 3
Source: RefSeq, a predicted model, not a curated record
UGGAUUUUCUUCUACUUUCUCUGCUUUGAAGACAUUAUAAUCUUGCAAGUGUUAAUUUUUGACUAGUUCUAGCAUAGACUUAGGACAGGAAGAAGCCUGUUUAGGGCUGUUGGAGUUUGGAUCUUGUGCAAUGUGUGGGAGUUGUGCUCCAGCUAUUUUUCUGUUAGGUAUAUGAGAAAAGGCAGGGGAAGUAGGAAGAGCUCAAGCUUUGCUUAUUUUUUUAUGCUGCAAACAGGGUAGCUCUGUAGAGGAAAAAGGAUUUGAAGUGUUGACCUGGAAUGUUAAAGUCACGGGUAACACUUGACAGCAUUUUCUCUCUUAGGAGUAUCUCAGACAUAUGGGAAGGUGGUCAAGAACAGGAGCUGCUGCUACUGUCCUUUUGACUGGAAAUAGUAGAUGCCAAUAGAAUCAAGAGCAGGAUAAACAAAUAAGAUGCAGGACAAUUGCAGGAGCUCUCAGAGUCCUGGUGUUUCAGGCCUGCAGAAGCUCUGCCUUGUGUACUAGGCUGUGGGGCUGCCUGAGGAGCUUUCACAAAUAGCACUUUUAUGUGGCUUAUUGCUAGCUGUGCAGCACUCACACAACCGCGCAGUAUUUACUGGUUGGAAUUGUUGGGCCAGCUGGAUCACAGUUCACACAGCCAUGUGUCUUCCCAGAAGUCAGUGAGAUGUGUGUUUGCACAUCCCAGCAAGCUCUGCUUACCCCACGUUGUCUCAGUGCCAGCUGACCGCAGGAUCCAUCCAGCCGACCACUUUGUGGUGAUGAAUUGCUGUAUUUGCUACUGGCUGCAUAUGGCAGAGAGCUUAAGAUCUCCAUGAAGGAAAAUGAUUAUCGUUGAGUCACGCCAAUAGCUGCGACGCUGGCUGCCUGCCCCCGCCAGCCUGCUGCACCACUUGUGUGCUAAUGUUUGGAUCCUAGUGAUGGGAAAUGAAUGUCAGCCUGUACUCUCUUCACGCACCAUUGAGCUGUGCUUAUGGUCGCUUUUGGCAGCACCAAAUCAUCAAACAGAUAAAACCAUCAGUCUUUUUAUUUCCAAACAUUAACCUAACCGCUAAUGAAGCACAGCUCGUGUCACCCUUAUGGACUCUGCAGAGCUGAGUCACACGAUAAACGGGAUCCGAAUGCUGGAAAAUGGCUCGCGCUUCUUCCUCGUGCUGCAGCCAGGCCUGCUGUGUGAGCGGGGCCCGUCCGGAGGAGUUCUGCCUCAGGCCUGCAUGCUAGAGCUGGGUGGGAAAGCUGGUGGAGCUGGGCUCUGUCUACCCAGCGCAGCAUGGGGCUGUGACCUGUGUGUUUUGGGGUGUGCACAGUGGGCCAUUCAGCCCCAGUUCUGGUGGGGAGAGCUUUCCAGUCCCCAAGGUGGAGGAAAUGGAGCAAUCCUCCCUCCCCAUGGACUUUGCCUCCAGUGGCUUGAACGUAUUUUUCCCCAAACAUCUCCCAGCGAAACUGGAGGGGUUUUGUAAAUUCAUUAUGUCAUGGAGGAAUCUGUUUAAUCAGCUGCCUUUCCCCAGAGGCGCUUUGCGCUUAAUGAGACGCUUGAUGGAAGGAAUCAAAAUUGGUUCAUAUGAGUUUAGCCUGAGAGCCUCCAGCCGAUGUAUUACUGAGUGCACUGUAAUUUAGAGGGGUAAAUGGAGAGGCUGAGCAAUUAUCACCCUGCUUGCUUGAGGUCAGUGGCAGGGGUGAAAGGUAAAACCUAGAGCUCUGCAUUGCACCAUCCCCUUCCUAGGUGUCAUCGUGAUAAACAACACAAGUCUCUGUGCGACCAGGAGCCUGCUCCCUGCUGCUGGUGUGACCUGUUGGGCUCUCUUCCUUCCCACUGCAAUUUGCAGUCACGCAGUAAGGCACAUUUCUUGCUUAGCUUAAGUCUGAGGAUGUCUCACUAAUUCAGUAAGUAUCCGUAUGAGGCAUACAGCAUGUAUGUGGAAAAGGCAUCAAGAACAUAGAGAGCUAGAUAGUGGGACACAGAGCUGCAGCGUGGAAUAGUUCCAACUUUAGGUCCAAAAUCCAUUAUUAAAAUCUUCCCUUGUGAAAUUAAUGUAAGAAGAGCAAUCCUUUGUUUCCUCUGCACAUCCACCUUCUUCAGCUGCCUGUUCUAACCACCAGAUGUCAGUUACUUUGUGACCUGCCUUCCUGUGGCGGGCCAGCUCUGUGGCUGCCAGGCC